Molecule: ribosomal RNA, 598 nt
Filed under: Actinomycetales bacterium HP18
Lineage: Bacteria; Bacillati; Actinomycetota; Actinomycetes; Actinomycetales
Description: bacterial SSU rRNA
Rfam family: Bacterial small subunit ribosomal RNA
Source: RNAcentral
AGUCGAGCGGUAAGGCCCUUCGGGGUACACGAGCGGCGAACGGGUGAGUAACACGUGGGUGAUCUGCCUCGCACUUCGGGAUAAGCCUGGGAAACUGGGUCUAAUACCGGAUAGGACCUCUUGUCGCAUGGCUUGGGGUGGAAAGAUUUAUCGGUGCGAGAUGGGCCCGCGGCCUAUCAGCUUGUUGGUGGGGUAAUGGCCUACCAAGGCGACGACGGGUAGCCGGCCUGAGAGGGCGACCGGCCACACUGGGACUGAGACACGGCCCAGACUCCUACGGGAGGCAGCAGUGGGGAAUAUUGCACAAUGGGCGGAAGCCUGAUGCAGCGACGCCGCGUGAGGGAUGACGGCCUUCGGGUUGUAAACCUCUUUCGACUCCGACGAAGCGAGAGUGACGGUAGGGGUAGAAGAAGCACCGGCCAACUACGUGCCAGCAGCCGCGGUAUACGUGGGUGCGAGCGUUGUCGGCAUUACUGGGCGUAAAGAGCUUGUAAGAAGGUUUGGCCGCGUCGUCUGGGGAAAACUCACAGCUCCACUGUGAACUUGCAGGCGAUACGGGCAGACUUGAGUACUGGAGGGGAGACUGGAAUUCCUGGUG